RNAcentral lists this RNase P RNA (344 nucleotides) under Fidelibacterota bacterium. RNAcentral's name for it is "RNase P RNA component class A". It matches the Rfam family "Bacterial RNase P class A". Rfam says of the family: Ribonuclease P (RNase P) is a ubiquitous endoribonuclease, found in archaea, bacteria and eukarya as well as chloroplasts and mitochondria. Its best characterised activity is the generation of mature 5'-ends of tRNAs by cleaving the 5'-leader elements of precursor-tRNAs. Cellular RNase Ps are ribonucleoproteins. The record is from RNAcentral. Lineage: Bacteria; Pseudomonadati; Fidelibacterota.
AGAGCUGAUUGGAUGAUUACUCGAUUUUUCGAGAGGAAAGUCCGGGCACCGAAGAGCAUAGUGCCACCUAACAGGUGGGAUUCGUGAGAAUAUGGACAGUGCAGCAGAAAGUAAACCGCCAGUAAAUGGUAAGGGUGAAACGGUGGUGUAAGAGACCACCAGUAAUAAUGGUAACAUUAUUAGCUGGUAAACCCCACUAGGUGCAAGAUCACGUAGACCCGAGAUACUGCUCGUAUCAUUUGAGGGAAGGGUAGAUUGCUAGAGUUUUAUAGAAAUAUAAGAUAGAGAGGAAUGAUCAUCGCAUCACAGAUGUACAGAACCCGGCUUAUAAAUCAGCUCAAAAA